UACGUAGGGUGCGAGCGUUGUCCGGAAUUAUUGGGCGUAAAGAGCUCGUAGGCGGUCUGUCGCGUCUGCUGUGAAAACCCGAGGCUCAACCUCGGGCCUGCAGUGGGUACGGGCAGACUAGAGUGCGGUAGGGGAGAAUGGAAUUCCUGGUGUAGCGGUGAAAUGCGCAGAUAUCAGGAGGAACACCGGUGGCGAAGGCGGUUCUCUGGGCCUUACCUGACACUGAGGAGCGAAAGCGUGGGGAGCGAACAGG
RNAcentral lists this ribosomal RNA (253 nucleotides) under uncultured bacterium. Its description in RNAcentral is "partial 16S ribosomal RNA". It matches the Rfam family "Bacterial small subunit ribosomal RNA", at positions 524 to 776 of the family's 1533-position model. The record is from RNAcentral.